RNAcentral lists this long non-coding RNA (461 nucleotides) under Ananas comosus (pineapple). RNAcentral's name for it is "long non-coding RNA (ACOM_LNC032070)". The record is from RNAcentral. Lineage: Eukaryota; Viridiplantae; Streptophyta; Magnoliopsida; Poales; Bromeliaceae.
CAAUAGAGGAAGGGGUCAGUGACAGUUCCAGUUUCCCGCUAUCAAGCGAUAGUCUCUCAAAGAAGUGUCAUCGAAAUGUUCAGUAGUUCCUUUGGCCUUCAAACGCAAAAGGCGUCAAAGAUAAUGAAAAGGGCGAUAACGGUUCUUUAAGAAGGAUUGAACAAGGCUUUUUGGACCCCGUACACGUAUCAAUAUGGAAUGGCCCGACCCCGAGAAAGUGCCUAGCCGACGUCUCCUUCGCCUGUGAUCAUGCCAGUUGUUCCCACGUCCCGAUAGCCUCUUCCGAAAGUGAGAUAAGUGCGAUACGCUGGAUCCCUAACGCCCGUGCCAGUGAACGUAAAAACUGUAGCUGUGGAAGGGAAAAAGUUCUAGUGGAAGCCAUUAGAAGAGAGUCCCGUUUAACCCCUCUAGAUCACAAGUAGGGACAUCCCGCUAAAGGUCUAAGCCCGGAAAAGGAAAAC